UUCAUUUUGAAGUUUGUGUAGCAGGAUGGAAAAGAUCACUAUGGGUGAUCCAGACACUCAUCCAAUGUUUAUUGAUGUGAUUACCUGGAACAGAAGGUGGUAAAGAGGGACACCAACACAUGCAACAUGUGUGAGCAAGACACUGUGAGCAAGACAAAGGAGCUGAUCGUGUAGUACAGGAAAAGGCGGGCUGAACAGGUCCUCAUUAACAUCAACGGGGCUGUAGUGGAGCGGGUCGAGAGUUUCAAGUUCCUUGGUGUCCACAUCACCAACGAACUAUCAUGGUCCAAACACACCAAGACAGUGGUGUAGAGGGCCCAACAACAUCUUUUUCCCCCUCAGGAGACUGAAAAGAUUUGGCAUGGGUCCCCAGAUCCUCAAAAGGUUCUACAGCUGUACCAUCGAGAGUAUCCUGACCGGUUGCAUCACCGCAUGGUAUGGCAACUGCUCGGCCUCCAACCGCAAGGCACUACAGAGGGUAGUGCGUACGGCCCAGUACAUCACUGGGGCCACGUUUCCUGCCAUCCAGGAUCUCUAUACUAGGCGGUGUUAGAAGAAAG
This is a long non-coding RNA of Oncorhynchus tshawytscha (Chinook salmon), 560 nucleotides long. Lineage: Eukaryota; Metazoa; Chordata; Actinopteri; Salmoniformes; Salmonidae. The record is from Ensembl.